AAUAUAUAAAUAUAAACGCUUACAAAUUAUUUUUAGGGGGAAAUUAAAAUGGGAAUCAUUGUAUGCCAAUCAUGUGAAGCUACGAUCGAACAUGUAGAAGAUGAAAAGGUUACGGUUCUCUACUCAACAUGUGAACAUUGUCAGCACGAAGAGGAAGAAUAAUGGUCAAUGUCUCAACGGCUUAUAGCCGCUUUU
Molecule: small RNA, 195 nt
Filed under: Heyndrickxia ginsengihumi
Lineage: Bacteria; Bacillati; Bacillota; Bacilli; Caryophanales; Bacillaceae
Description: Bacillus ginsengihumi SR1 sRNA
Rfam family: SR1 sRNA
Source: Rfam by way of RNAcentral